RNAcentral lists this ribosomal RNA (465 nucleotides) under Vreelandella stevensii. RNAcentral describes it as "partial 16S ribosomal RNA". It matches the Rfam family "Bacterial small subunit ribosomal RNA", at positions 338 to 795 of the family's 1533-position model. The record is from RNAcentral. Lineage: Bacteria; Pseudomonadati; Pseudomonadota; Gammaproteobacteria; Oceanospirillales; Halomonadaceae.
CCUACGGGACGCUGCAGUGGGGAAUAUUGGACAAUGGGGGGAACCCUGAUCCAGCCAUGCCGCGUGUGUGAAGAAGGCCCUCGGGUUGUAAAGCACUUUCAGUGAGGAAGAACGCCUGGUGGUUAAUACCCAUCAGGAAAGACAUCACUCACAGAAGAAGCACCGGCUAACUCCGUGCCAGCAGCCGCGGUAAUACGGAGGGUGCGAGCGUUAAUCGGAAUUACUGGGCGUAAAGCGCGCGUAGGUGGCUUGAUAAGCCGGUUGUGAAAGCCCCGGGCUCAACCUGGGAACGGCAUCCGGAACUGUCAAGCUAGAGUGCAGGAGAGGAAGGUAGAAUUCCCGGUGUAGCGGUGAAAUGCGUAGAGAUCGGGAGGAAUACCAGUGGCGAAGGCGGCCUUCUGGACUGACACUGACACUGAGGUGCGAAAGCGUGGGUAGCAAACAGGAUUAGAUACCCCAGUAGUC